Molecule: ribosomal RNA, 253 nt
Filed under: uncultured bacterium
Lineage: Bacteria
Description: partial 16S ribosomal RNA
Rfam family: Bacterial small subunit ribosomal RNA
Source: RNAcentral
GACGAACUGUCCUAACGUUGUUCGGAAUCACUGGGCUUAAAGGGCGCGUAGGCGGUCCGCUAAGUCAGGGGUGAAAUCCUGCAGCUUAACUGUAGAAGUGCCUCUGAUACUGGCGGUCUUGAGGGAAAUAGGGGUGUGCGGAACUUCCAGUGGAGCGGUGAAAUGCGUUGAUAUUGGAAGGAACGCCGGAGGCGAAAGCGGCGCACUGGAUUUCUUCUGACGCUGAGGCGCGAAAGCUAGGGGAGCAAACGGG